RNAcentral lists this ribosomal RNA (424 nucleotides) under uncultured bacterium. RNAcentral describes it as "bacterial SSU rRNA". It matches the Rfam family "Bacterial small subunit ribosomal RNA", at positions 355 to 776 of the family's 1533-position model. The record is from RNAcentral. RNAcentral also lists the same sequence under 1 other name.
UGAGGAAUAUUGGUCAAUGGACGAGAGUCUGAACCAGCCAAGUAGCGUGAAGGAUGACUGCCCUAUGGGUUGUAAACUUCUUUUAUAUGGGAAUAAAAUGUUCCACGUGUGGGAUUUUGUAUGUACCAUAUGAAUAAGGAUCGGCUAACUCCGUGCCAGCAGCCGCGGUAAUACGGAGGAUCCGAGCGUUAUCCGGAUUUAUUGGGUUUAAAGGGAGCGUAGGUGGAUUGUUAAGUCAGUUGUGAAAGUUUGCGGCUCAACCGUAAAAUUGCAGUUGAAACUGGCAGUCUUGAGUACAGUAGAGGUGGGCGGAAUUCGUGGUGUAGCGGUGAAAUGCUUAGAUAUCACGAAGAACUCCGAUUGCGAAGGCAGCUCACUGGACUGCAACUGACACUGAGGCUCGAAAGUGUGGGUAUCAAACAGG